This 519-nucleotide ribosomal RNA is filed under the name Meloidogyne arenaria. Its description in RNAcentral is "eukaryotic LSU rRNA". The stretch from base 225 to 378 matches the Rfam family "5.8S ribosomal RNA". The record is from RNAcentral. Lineage: Eukaryota; Metazoa; Nematoda; Chromadorea; Rhabditida; Meloidogynidae.
CGCUGUCUUACUUUAUGUGAUGUUCAAUUUGAUUCGCAAUGAAAUGAUCGUUGUGAAACGGCUGUCGCUGGUGUCUAAGUGUUGCUGAUACGGUUGUGAACGUCCGUGGCUGUAUAUGUGGUGACAUGUUAGGACUCUAAUGAGUUUAAGACCUAAUGAGCCUCUUAAGUGAGGCCGCCAGCAACCUUUUUUUUCUCUACAUUUUAAAAAAAAAACUAAAAUUCUAUCCUUAUCGGUGGAUCACUAGGCUCGUGGAUCGAUGAAGAACGCAGCAAACUGCGAUAAUUAUUGCGAACUGCAGAAGUAUUGAGCACAAAAGUUUUGAACGCAAAUGGCCGCAUUGAGGUCAAACUCUUUGCAACGUCUGGUUCAGGGUCAUUUUCUCUUAUAGCGGAAGCUUUAAUUUCUAUAAUGAUGUUGUUGCUUUAUAUUUUAAAAGGAUUUUUGUUUAUUCAUGUAUUAAAUCUAACUGUGAAAAUCAAACAAUUUUGACCUGAACUCAUCCGAGAGCAAAACCAA